RNAcentral lists this ribosomal RNA (490 nucleotides) under uncultured bacterium. RNAcentral describes it as "partial 16S ribosomal RNA". It matches the Rfam family "Bacterial small subunit ribosomal RNA", at positions 30 to 507 of the family's 1533-position model. The record is from RNAcentral.
AUUGAACGCUGGCGGCAUGCCUUACACAUGCAGGUCGAACGGCAGCAUGAUCUAGCUUGCUAGAUUGAUGGCGAGUGGCGAACGGGUGAGUAAUACAUCGGAACGUGCCCUGUAGUGGGGGAUAACUAGUCGAAAGAUUAGCUAAUACCGCAUACGACCUGAGGGUGAAAGUGGGGGACCGCAAGGCCUCAUGCUAUAGGAGCGGCCGAUGUCUGAUUAGCUAGUUGGUGAGGUAAAGGCUCACCAAGGCGACGAUCAGUAGCUGGUCUGAGAGGACGAUCAGCCACACUGGGACUGAGACACGGCCCAGACUCCUACGGGAGGCAGCAGUGGGGAAUUUUGGACAAUGGGCGAAAGCCUGAUCCAGCAAUGCCGCGCGUGUGAAGAAGGCCUUCGGGUUGUAAAGCACUUUUGUCCGGAAAGAAAUGGCUCUGGUUAAUACCUGGGGUCGAUGACGGUACCGGAAGAAUAAGGACCGGCUAACUACGUG